Molecule: ribosomal RNA, 409 nt
Filed under: bacterium
Lineage: Bacteria
Description: partial 16S ribosomal RNA
Rfam family: Bacterial small subunit ribosomal RNA
Source: RNAcentral
UGGGGAAUAUUGCACACUGGGCGAAAGCCUGAUGCAGCGACGCCGCGUGAGGGAUGACGGCCUUCGGGUUGUAAACCUCUUUCAGUAGGGACGAAGCGCAAGUGACGGUACCUGCAGAAGAAGCACCGGCUAACUACGUGCCAGCAGCCGCGGUAAUACGUAGGGUGCGAGCGUUGUCCGGAAUUACUGGGCGUAAAGAGCUCGUAGGCGGUUUGUCACGUCGUCUGUGAAAUCCUAGGGCUUAACCCUGGACGUGCAGGCGAUACGGGCUGACUUGAGUACUACAGGGGAGACUGGAAUUUCUGGUGUAGCGGUGGAAUGCACAGAUAUCAGGAAGAACACCGAUGGCGAAGGCAGGUCUCUGGGUAGUAACUGACGCUGAGGAGCGAAAGCAUGGGUAGCGAACAGG